Molecule: ribosomal RNA, 566 nt
Filed under: uncultured bacterium
Lineage: Bacteria
Description: bacterial SSU rRNA
Rfam family: Bacterial small subunit ribosomal RNA
Source: RNAcentral
AGAGUUUGAUUAUGGCUCAGGACGAACGCUGGCGGCGUGCCUAACACAUGCAAGUCGAACGAGAAUCCGUGGAAGGAGGCUUCGGCCAACGGAAGCGGAGGACAGUGGCGAACGGGUGAGUAACGCGUGAGCAACCUGCCUUUCAGUGGGGGACAACAGAGGGAAACUUCUGCUAAUACCGCAUAACGUGCCUUGGGGGCAUCCCUGGGGUACCAAAGAUUUAUUGCUGAAAGAUGGGCUCGCGUCUGAUUAGAUAGUUGGCGGGGUAACGGCCCACCAAGUCGACGAUCAGUAGCCGGUCUGAGAGGAUGAACGGCCACAUUGGGACUGAGAUACGGCCCAGACUCCUACGGGAGGCAGCAGUGGGGAAUAUUGGGCAAUGGGGGAAACCCUGACCCAGCAACGCCGCGUGAAGGAAGAAGGCUUUCGGGUUGUAAACUUCUUUUACCAGGGACGAAGAAAGUGACGGUACCUGGAGAAAAAGCUCCGGCUAACUACGUGCCAGCAGCCGCGGUAAUACGUAGGGAGCGAGCGUUGUCCGGAUUUACUGGGUGUAAAGGGCGUGU